Molecule: ribosomal RNA, 237 nt
Filed under: Triticum aestivum (bread wheat)
Lineage: Eukaryota; Viridiplantae; Streptophyta; Magnoliopsida; Poales; Poaceae
Description: partial small subunit ribosomal RNA
Source: RNAcentral
AUGAAGAAGCUUCUUGGUAAUGGAUAUGGUUCUCUUAUAUUUGGUAGGAGGCAGAAAAAAUUCAGCAUGGAAAAUCACCACAUUCUACGUGGUGUAUUUAUGAUAGCUCUAAAUGAGUACUUCUGGACACCUGAUUGCUUCUCACUAGGAUGCCCUAUGCGGGAUUAUGGUGACUUCUUCAAAUCUGUGCAAGAUUUCUCCUCUUUAGCAUCACUGGAUUUUUUUAAAAUGCACUGA